RNAcentral lists this ribosomal RNA (253 nucleotides) under uncultured bacterium. RNAcentral describes it as "partial 16S ribosomal RNA". It matches the Rfam family "Bacterial small subunit ribosomal RNA", at positions 524 to 776 of the family's 1533-position model. The record is from RNAcentral.
GACGUAGGGGGCCAGCGUUGCUCGGAAUUACUGGGCGUAAAGGGCGCGUAGGCGGCCUGUUAAGUCGAACGUGAAAUCCCCGGGCUCAACCCGGGAACUGCGUCCGAUACUGGCAGGCUUGAAUUCGGGAGAGGGAUGCGGAAUUCCAGGUGUAGCGGUGAAAUGCGUAGAUAUCUGGAGGAACACCGGUGGCGAAGGCGGCAUCCUGGACCGAGAUUGACGCUGAGGCGCGAAAGCCAGGGGAGCAAACGGG